RNAcentral lists this ribosomal RNA (323 nucleotides) under Staphylococcus pseudintermedius. RNAcentral describes it as "bacterial SSU rRNA". It matches the Rfam family "Bacterial small subunit ribosomal RNA", at positions 1 to 313 of the family's 1533-position model. The record is from RNAcentral. Lineage: Bacteria; Bacillati; Bacillota; Bacilli; Caryophanales; Staphylococcaceae.
UUUAUGGAGAGUUUGAUCCUGGCUCAGGAUGAACGCUGGCGGCGUGCCUAAUACAUGCAAGUCGAGCGAACAGAUAAGGAGCUUGCUCCUUUGACGUUAGCGGCGGACGGGUGAGUAACACGUGGGUAACCUACCUAUAAGACUGGAAUAACUCCGGGAAACCGGGGCUAAUGCCGGAUAACAUGUUGAACCGCAUGGUUCUACAGUGAAAGACGGUCUUGCUGUCACUUAUAGAUGGACCCGCGCCGUAUUAGCUAGUUGGUGGGGUAACGGCCUACCAAGGCGACGAUACGUAGCCGACCUGAGAGGGUGAUCGGCCACAC